UUAGGUCGGGAACUCAAAGGAGACUGCCAGUGAUAAACUGGAGGAAGGUGGGGAUGACGUCAAGUCAUUAUGGCCCUUACGACCAGGGCUACACACGUGCUACAAUGGCGCAUACAAAGAGAAGCGACCUCGCGAGAGCAAGCGGACCUCAUAAAGUGCGUCGUAGUCCGGAUUGGAGUCUGCAACUCGACUCCAUGAAGUCGGAAUCGCUAGUAAUCGUGGAUCAGAAUGCCACGGUGAAUACGUUCCCGGGCCUUGUACACACCGCCCGUCACACCAUGGGAGUGGGUUGCAAAAGAAGUAGGUAGCUUAACCUUCGGGAGGGCGCUUACCACUUUGUGAUUCAUGACUGGGGUGAAGUCGUAACAAGGUAACCGUAGGGGAACCUGCGGUUGGAUCACCUCCUUACCUUAAAGAA
Molecule: ribosomal RNA, 418 nt
Filed under: Salmonella enterica subsp. enterica serovar Altona
Lineage: Bacteria; Pseudomonadati; Pseudomonadota; Gammaproteobacteria; Enterobacterales; Enterobacteriaceae
Description: bacterial SSU rRNA
Rfam family: Bacterial small subunit ribosomal RNA
Source: RNAcentral